This 340-nucleotide long non-coding RNA is filed under the name Capsella rubella. Its description in RNAcentral is "long non-coding RNA (CRUB_LNC003284)". Lineage: Eukaryota; Viridiplantae; Streptophyta; Magnoliopsida; Brassicales; Brassicaceae. The record is from RNAcentral.
UCGAUAUUUAAUUAAAUUUAUAAAAUAAAACCAAAAAGUUAUAGGAAAAAAAAAUGUGUAGAAUAUGUGAAGUUUGUCAAGAGUACAAAAAUUGAGAAACGUGAGUGAAAUAUCAAACUGGCGUGUGACAUGGCAGUGGAAUAAACGUAUCUAACGUAAAGUUCGUUUGUGUAUGGUGUGACGUGGUAUUUGUUUUUUUUUUCUAAUUUAUGUUUUCGUUUUUUACGAAGCUGUACUCUUGAGAUUACAGUCUCUAGAAAGGAUGACGUGUUGAGAUUUGGUUGGUCGGGAGAGCCUUUUUAGUUUCUGCUCCGACCAGAGUAGAGAAGAGUUACGUAAU